CGAAGAAGCGAACCUGCGAAGGCAAGCGGAUCUCUUAAAGCCGUUCUCAGUUCGGACUGUAGGCUGCAACUCGCCUACACGAAGCUGGAAUCGCUAGUAAUCGCGGAUCAGCACGCCGCGGUGAAUACGUUCCCGGGCCUUGUACACACCGCCCGUCACACCAUGAGAGUCUGUAACACCCAAAGCCGGUGGGAUAACCUUUAUAGGAGUCAGCCGUCUAAGGUAGGACAGAUGAUUAGGGUGAAGUCGUAACAAGGUAAC
This 261-nucleotide ribosomal RNA is filed under the name uncultured bacterium. RNAcentral's name for it is "partial 16S ribosomal RNA". It matches the Rfam family "Bacterial small subunit ribosomal RNA", at positions 1242 to 1500 of the family's 1533-position model. The record is from RNAcentral.